ACUCAACAAGUUUUUAUUAAGAAGAGUGAGUCUUUUUUGCAAAAGCAAGCUGUCUAGAACAGAUCCUUGACCAAAUAGUUAGCUCUAAACCUGUUUUUUCGGAGUUU
This 107-nucleotide small RNA is filed under the name Flavobacteriaceae bacterium. Its description in RNAcentral is "6S RNA". It matches the Rfam family "6S-Flavo RNA". The record is from RNAcentral. Lineage: Bacteria; Pseudomonadati; Bacteroidota; Flavobacteriia; Flavobacteriales; Flavobacteriaceae.